RNAcentral lists this long non-coding RNA (810 nucleotides) under Ananas comosus (pineapple). Its description in RNAcentral is "long non-coding RNA (ACOM_LNC005885)". The record is from RNAcentral. Lineage: Eukaryota; Viridiplantae; Streptophyta; Magnoliopsida; Poales; Bromeliaceae.
AUUUUUUAUAUUGGAACUUCUAAAUCGAUGGUCUGUUUUGUUAGAUUUGGUCUAACAUAUUAAAAGCAUUUAAAAAAUAAAUUUUAUGAUAUUUCGAUAUCAUUACCUAAAGAUGAAAAAAAUUCAAAAUUAAUUUUCUAUAUUUAUAAAUAUAUUAUUAUUAUAUAUAUCGAGAGAGUGAGAGCUAGACUCCUGUAUCAUCUACAAUAUAUAUAGAGAGAGAGAGAGCUAGGCUCCUAUAACUAUAGUUUCGUUUUCAACAUUCGAAUAUUCAAAUCAACGAUUCACACUAUUAAAACUGAUUUAAAUAUUUGAAACUUUUAGAAAUAAAAUUUUAUAUUUUUUCGACAUAAUUUAUUUUAUGAUCAAACCAUUUUAAAAUUAUCAAUUUUCAAUGGUUAUUAUGGCAAGUUUUAUAGUAAGAGUAUAGAAGAAUCUAAACUUAUAUAUAUAGAAAAUAGAGUGUUGGAUCUUGCCCAAUAGGUAAGGUUAUAGUCCGAAUUGCUAGCCAGCAUAUUUUUAGAAUGCUAGACUGAGUUGGAGCCGUUUGGUGCAAAAUAAAUGCGAAAACGGUUUCGGAAACCAAAUAUUAGUUCAAACUGUGUUUUUGUUGCACUUCCGGAUACCCAGAUGUGGUUUGGGGCGCUCGGAUGUUGUGAGCUGAGAAUUUGGAAGUUUCGAACCCUCUGUUGGGAUGCGCGGAUUGUGCACUGUAAUAGUUUAGAAGUUAGGCAGGGUUGAUUUGACGUGUCUCACGAUAUACGUGUAUGCAAGGUGGCUCAGCAGGAUUUUGGGCGCAGGUUCUGGGUG